RNAcentral lists this long non-coding RNA (1089 nucleotides) under Oryctolagus cuniculus (rabbit). RNAcentral's name for it is "lncRNA (ENSOCUG00000034045.1)". The record is from RNAcentral. Lineage: Eukaryota; Metazoa; Chordata; Mammalia; Lagomorpha; Leporidae.
AUGGGGUCUUCUGUGAGCCGGUCUGCAAGGGAGUGGUGGGGAGGGAGCAGCUUGGCGGCGGCGGCGGGUGCAGACUCGGGUAGAGGCGCCCAGCGCGUGCACGCGGGAGAGGCAGGACGGCUCCCGGUGCAAGGCCCUCCCACCUCCGUGCCUCGGUUUCCCCAGGGAGGCAAGGACACGGUUCGGCGCGUGGGAGCGCAAGAAGCCCUUUCUUGGGUCUCAUUGUCCCCGGGAGGGUGUGGGAGGCUGCACCGGGCACAUUCAUCUUGUCGCGGCUCACAGGCAGCGUCUGCCCAGGCUCUGUCCUCACCCCAUCCGGCUCCCCUGCCGCCGCCCAGCGCCUCUCGCACCCCGAGCCCCGGAGGCGUCCAAGCCGUCCCAAGCCUGCGGUGGGAGCCCGCCCCGCCCGCGCGCCGCCUCGCCCCCGCCCUUCCUCCUCCUCCACCCCGCCCUUCCUCCUCCUCCUCCUCCCCGCCGCUCCGGGAGUCGGCUCUCCGGCCGUGUGCGCAAGCGUGUCCGGCCCCUUCCCCGCCCCCAGCCCGGGCCCGGGCCCGGGCCCGGGCCCCCGCCUCCCCUGCAGGCGGAUUUGCCCGCUCCCUGGCCGGCUCCGCGCCUGGGACAGGGACCGGGCGGAGCGGAGCCGUUGCGCCAAGUGUGGCGCCGCGGGGUCGGUGCGCCCUACACGGAUCAGAACUGUGCCGCACGAACUGCCCUCACCUCCCCGCUCCCACCCCCGGGAGUGAGUACGCCGGCAACCGGGCGCCGGGGCCCCCGAGGGAGGGCGGGGAGCGCCCAGGGGUCCCGGGCCGUCCGGCCGCAUCCUUGCGCCGCCGCUCGGGGCGGUGUCGGGCCCUGCACGUGGGCGCAGCACGGCUCGGGGUCGGGUGGGGCGGCCCCGGCCCCGGGGAGCUGCUUCUUGGGGUCGCUUUCCCCUGGACCAGGUUUUCGCGGGAAGCCGGAUUCUGUUCGCUCCCUUUGCAGUGCGCGAACAGGACUGUCCUCUCCGGAAAGUUUCUGUCCCCCACCGUGCGCCCGGGCUGGAGAGGCGUCCUCCGCCGCCGCCGGCAUCCUCUGAGCCCGGGUCGCUGA